Molecule: ribosomal RNA, 254 nt
Filed under: uncultured bacterium
Lineage: Bacteria
Description: partial 16S ribosomal RNA
Rfam family: Bacterial small subunit ribosomal RNA
Source: RNAcentral
UACGUAGGGACCAAGCGUUGUUCGGAUUUACUGGGCGUAAAGGGCGCGUAGGCGGUCAGCACAAGUCAGUUGUGAAAUCUCCGGGCUUAACUCGGAAAGGUCAACUGAUACUGUGCGACUAGAGUGCGGAAGGGGCAACUGGAAUUCUCGGUGUAGCGGUGAAAUGCGUAGAUAUCGAGAGGAACACCUGCGGCGAAGGCGGGUUGCUGGGCUGACACUGACGCUGAUGCGCGAAAGCGUGGGGAGCAAACAGG